This is a long non-coding RNA of Sapajus apella (tufted capuchin), 504 nucleotides long. RefSeq lists it as uncharacterized. The record is from RefSeq and is a predicted model, not a curated record. Lineage: Eukaryota; Metazoa; Chordata; Mammalia; Primates; Cebidae. The transcript is spliced from 2 exons.
GAGUCCCAGAGCUCGAGUCUGAGGACCCGAGACGUGGCAUUCUCGCCUGAGGACUGGAAAGAAUCCUACAAAACAAGCUUUGGUUUCAUUUUCCAACGCCCUGGCCUGAGAUCCUGCAGGCCGAGGACGUGGCCUGGCGUGGGGGAUCUGGGGGAUGUCAAGAGGGUUCUGGUUACCAGAUCCGCGUUUACUUUGGAAAAAUCUAAGAUCGCCACAUCCGAGGAUACAUGUCUUAAGGAGGCGAUGAGCUUUCCGUGAUUUUUUUUUUAAAUCAGAGAUUCUUUCGGUAGCUUUCUUUUAAAAGCCAGAGCCUCGAGGCAUGCCCAGGCGCCCCAGUUUGGGGAAGUCGGGGUGAAGCCCCCUGGAACACCCUCGCUCUGGCAAAGAAGCUGCCUCGGCCAUCUGCGGGCUCCGCUGCGUUCUCCCUACUUUUCUCCCCUCUUAAAUGCAGUUAAAAUGGCUGAAUUCCGGCUUUUAAUUAAAAACAGCCUAUAAUCGAAAACG